This 142-nucleotide small nucleolar RNA is filed under the name Drosophila mojavensis. RNAcentral's name for it is "snoRNA:GI25409". Lineage: Eukaryota; Metazoa; Arthropoda; Insecta; Diptera; Drosophilidae. The record is from RNAcentral.
GCAACAUUAAUCAGUGAUUCUUCUGCUAUAAUUGCAGGUUUUCGCUUUUGCAUUGUUGCUAGAAUAUCAUCUAUAGGGACAAGCUAUCAGCAGAAUACGAUGAUAAUCUAAAUCGUGUUCUUCUAAAGCCUUGUCUACAGCC